RNAcentral lists this non-coding RNA (28 nucleotides) under Rattus norvegicus (Norway rat). Lineage: Eukaryota; Metazoa; Chordata; Mammalia; Rodentia; Muridae. The record is from RNAcentral.
UGCCAGUGUGCUCACACGUGACCUUGGG